RNAcentral lists this ribosomal RNA (253 nucleotides) under uncultured bacterium. RNAcentral describes it as "partial 16S ribosomal RNA". It matches the Rfam family "Bacterial small subunit ribosomal RNA", at positions 524 to 776 of the family's 1533-position model. The record is from RNAcentral.
UACAGAGGUUUCAAGCGUUGUUCGGAUUUAUUGGGCGUAAAGGGUGCGUAGGCGGCUUCGUAAGUCUGGUGUUAAAUCUCGGAGCUUAACUCCGAAACUGCAUUUGAUACUGCGGUGCUUGAGGACUGGAGAGGAGACUGGAAUUUACGGUGUAGCAGUGAAAUGCGUAGAGAUCGUAAGGAACACCAGUGGCGAAGGCGGGUCUCUGGACAGUUCCUGACGCUGAGGCACGAAGGCCAGGGGAGCAAACGGG